This 60-nucleotide transfer RNA is filed under the name Cornu aspersum (brown garden snail). RNAcentral's name for it is "Helix aspersa (brown garden snail) tRNA-Thr". The record is from RNAcentral. Lineage: Eukaryota; Metazoa; Mollusca; Gastropoda; Stylommatophora; Helicidae.
AUAAAUAUAGCUUACUAAAAGCACCGAUUUUGUAAAUCGGAGACGCCUUGCUAUUUGUGC